Molecule: ribosomal RNA, 770 nt
Filed under: uncultured bacterium
Lineage: Bacteria
Description: bacterial SSU rRNA
Rfam family: Bacterial small subunit ribosomal RNA
Source: RNAcentral
GACGAACGCUGGCGGCGUGCCUAAUACAUGCAAGUCGAGCGAAGUUUUUCUGGUGCUUGCACUAGAAAAACUUAGCGGCGAACGGGUGAGUAACACGUAAAGAACCUGCCUCAUAGACGGGGACAACUAUUGGAAACGAUAGCUAAUACCGGAUAACAGCAUAAAUCGCAUGAUAUAUGUUUAAAAGUUGGUUUCGGCUAACACUAUGAGAUGGCUUUGCGGUGCAUUAGCUAGUUGGUGGGGUAAAGGCCUACCAAGGCGACGAUGCAUAGCCGACCUGAGAGGGUGAUCGGCCACACUGGGACUGAGACACGGCCCAGACUCCUACGGGAGGCAGCAGUAGGGAAUCUUCCGCAAUGGGCGAAAGCCUGACGGAGCAACGCCGCGUGAGUGAAGAAGGAUUUCGGUUCGUAAAGCUCUGUUGUUAGGGAAGAAUGAUUGUAUAGUAACUAUAUACAGUAGAGACGGUACCUAACCAGAAAGCCACGGCUAACUACGUGCCAGCAGCCGCGGUAAUACGUAGGUGGCAAGCGUUGUCCGGAAUUAUUGGGCGUAAAGCGCGCGCAGGUGGUUUAAUAAGUCUGAUGUGAAAGCCCACGGCUCAACCGUGGAGGGUCAUUGGAAACUGUUAAACUUGAGUGCAGGAGAGAAAAGUGGAAUUCCUAGUGUAGCGGUGAAAUGCGUAGAGAUUAGGAGGAACACCAGUGGCGAAAGCGGCUUUUUGCCUGGUAACUGACACUGAGGCGCGAAAGCGUGGGGGAGCAAACAGG